RNAcentral lists this ribosomal RNA (81 nucleotides) under Phyllactinia fraxini. RNAcentral describes it as "partial 28S ribosomal RNA". It matches the Rfam family "Eukaryotic large subunit ribosomal RNA", at positions 1 to 80 of the family's 3401-position model. The record is from RNAcentral. Lineage: Eukaryota; Fungi; Ascomycota; Leotiomycetes; Helotiales; Erysiphaceae.
UUGACCUCGAAUCAGGUAGGGAUACCCGCUGAACUUAAGCAUAUCAAUAAGCGGAGGAAAAUAAACCAACCGGGAUUACCC